CCCUCCUUAGCAACAGUGUGUCUGUCUUCUUCCUCCAAUUUCACAGCCCCCUCCUCCCCAUUAGGCUACUCCUCAUAGCUGAGGGUCAUUCUGUUCAUUUUAUGUCAUCUCUUCAUCUGAUACUAUGAUGCAGACUCAUGAGAGUCCCGAAAGGUGAAUCUGAUGGUGAUUUGGUCUUACACGUAGAGAGGUUCUCCAAUGUGUGCUCUAACUUCUCCUGUGGGCAGCCUCUAGCCUUCAUACUGAAGCAAAGUGGAUACCAUAAGGAAAUUUUCCUUGCAGGAAGACUCACCUGGAAACACACUGUCUGCAAGUGCUGCCCAUAGCUUGGGCAGGGCCACCUAUAGUAUCUUGACACAGAAUACCCAAAACGCCUGUCUGUCACUGAGGCAGGUCUCAGGAGUACUACACAGUCCUCAGUGAUGGGCAGAGGUCAUGGGUAAACCCUACUAUCAACAUGAAGACAUUAAUGAGUGAGGAGCCUGAGAAGUAAUUAGGCCUUGAGGACACAACCCUUAUUAAUGAAAUUAAUUUGGCCUCAGCACCGAUCCACAGCAAGAUGAUGCCAUCCUGUCAUACCGCCAUCCCCAGAGCAAAAUUGAAAAAAAGAAACAAAAAACGAAAAAGAAAGAGUUCCAGGGGGCUGUGUUAUUCUUUCCUUUUCACAUGUGAAGACUAAAAUUCCAGAAUGUUCCAUCUGUGAGCCAGAUAGGAGCCAUUGUCUGACACAGACACAUCAUUUACUGAUGCCUCAAUCCUAGAACUCCUUAGCAUCAAGAACCAUAAGAAAAAAAAAUUCUGGUUUGUAGUCACCCAGGCUAAAGUAAUUUACUGUAAAACUCCAGAUGGUCUAAGACAUUCUUCUUGGGCAUGACUGGACAAAUUUUAUCUCCCUAAAUUCAUUAAUAAAAAU
Molecule: long non-coding RNA, 913 nt
Organism: Mesocricetus auratus (golden hamster)
Lineage: Eukaryota; Metazoa; Chordata; Mammalia; Rodentia; Cricetidae
Exons: 3
Source: RefSeq, a predicted model, not a curated record